GACGAACGCUGGCGGCGUGCCUAAUACAUGCAAGUCGAGCGGACGGAUGGGAGCUUGCUCCCAGACCGUCAGCGGCGGACGGGUGAGUAACCCGUGGGCAACCUGCCUGUAAGACUGGGAUAACUCCGGGAAACCGGGGCUAAUACCGGAUAACUCUUUCCCCCCAAGGGGGACAACUGAAAAAUUGGAUUUUGCUAUCACUUACAGAUGGGCCCGCGGCGCAUUAGCUAGUUGGUGAGGUAACGGCUCACCAAGGCGACGAUGCGUAGCCGACCUGAGAGGGUGAUCGGCCACACUGGGACUGAGACACGGCCCAGACUCCUACGGGAGGCAGCAGUAGGGAAUCUUCCGCAAUGGACGAAAGUCUGACGGAGCAACGCCGCGUGAGUGAUGAAGGUUUUCGGAUCGUAAAACUCUGUUGUCAGGGAAGAACAAGUACCGGAGUAACUGCCGGUACCUUGACGGUACCUGACCAGAAAGCCACGGCUAACUACGUG
RNAcentral lists this ribosomal RNA (497 nucleotides) under uncultured bacterium. RNAcentral describes it as "partial 16S ribosomal RNA". It matches the Rfam family "Bacterial small subunit ribosomal RNA", at positions 28 to 507 of the family's 1533-position model. The record is from RNAcentral.